This 468-nucleotide ribosomal RNA is filed under the name uncultured bacterium. RNAcentral's name for it is "partial 16S ribosomal RNA". It matches the Rfam family "Bacterial small subunit ribosomal RNA", at positions 28 to 507 of the family's 1533-position model. The record is from RNAcentral.
GACGAACGCUGGCGGCGUGCUUAACACAUGCAAGUCGAACGGAAAGGCCCUGCUUUUGUAGGGUGCUCGAGUGGCGAACGGGUGAGUAACACGUGAGUAACCUGCCCUUGACUUUGGGAUAACUUCAGGAAACUGGGGUUAAUACCGGAUAGGAGCUCCUGCUGCAUGGUGGGGGUUGGAAAGUUUCGGCGGUUGGGGAUGGACUCGCGGCUUAUCAGCUUGUUGGUGGGGUAGUGGCUUACCAAGGCUUUGACGGGUAGCCGGCCUGAGAGGGUGACCGGCCACAUUGGGACUGAGAUACGGCCCAGACUCCUACGGGAGGCAGCAGUGGGGAAUAUUGCACAAUGGGCGGAAGCCUGAUGCAGCAACGCCGCGUGCGGGAUGACGGCCUUCGGGUUGUAAACCGCUUUCGCCUGUGACGAAGCGUGAGUGACGGUAAUGGGUAAAGAAGCACCGGCUAACUACGUG